RNAcentral lists this unclassified non-coding RNA (187 nucleotides) under uncultured fungus. Its description in RNAcentral is "sequence contains ITS1, 5.8S rRNA gene". Lineage: Eukaryota; Fungi. RNAcentral also lists the same sequence under 1 other name. The record is from RNAcentral.
CCGUAUGAAACGAAACGCGAUCGAGUUCAGCAGCCGCACCGUGACCCGGCGCGCGCUCGUUCUCCGAUCCGUGUCCACACACACCGAGUGCACACUGUGAGGGACCGCGAGGUCCCCCGCGCUUUACACGUACGAACGCCUGUUUUAAACGCAUGUCGAAUCCGUGACGGAAACGUCUACGUAAACA